AUGAAUGAUAAUUCUGUAAAUUGGUGCUUUACGGGUUUCUAUGGUUAUCCGGCAUGGAAUGAAAAAUAUUUAUCUUGGGCUGAUCUUUGCGAAUUGCAUUCCCAUGUUCAUUAUCCUUGGGUAGUCAUUGGAUAUUUUAAUGAAAUUAUCUACUCUAGCGAAAAAGAAGGCGGUAAUGCUAGACCAAAUGAAAUGAUGCAGGAAUUUCGUAAGUGCUUGAGUGACUGUAACCUGGAGGAUAUGGUCUGUGUUGGUGAUCCAUUCACUUGGAGAAGCGGCGACAUCUGUGAAAGGCUUGAUCGAGCUAUUUGUAAUUCAGAAUGGGCAAAUAAAUUUCUGCGUGCUGCGAUUAUUAAUGGGGAGCAUGUACACUCAGACCAUCGUCCUUUGAUUCUUGACACAGAUUAUUUUGAUAGUAACUUGUUUAAUAGUUAG
This 435-nucleotide ribosomal RNA is filed under the name Triticum aestivum (bread wheat). RNAcentral describes it as "partial small subunit ribosomal RNA". Lineage: Eukaryota; Viridiplantae; Streptophyta; Magnoliopsida; Poales; Poaceae. The record is from RNAcentral.